UGAGGAAUAUUGGUCAAUGGCCGGAAGGCUGAACCAGCCAAGUCGCGUGAGGGAAGACGGCCCUACGGGUUGUAAACCUCUUUUGUCAGGGAGCAAACCUCUCCACGCGUGGGGAGUCGAGAGUACCUGAAGAAAAAGCAUCGGCUAACUCCGUGCCAGCAGCCGCGGUAAUACGGAGGAUGCGAGCGUUAUCCGGAUUUAUUGGGUUUAAAGGGUGCGCAGGCGGGAAGCCAAGUCAGCGGUAAAAAUUCGGGGCUCAACCCCGUCCGGCCGUUGAAACUGGUUUUCUUGAGUGGGCGAGAAGUGUGCGGAAUGCGUGGUGUAGCGGUGAAAUGCAUAGAUAUCACGCAGAACUCCGAUUGCGAAGGCAGCACACCGGCGCCCUACUGACGCUCAUGCACGAAAGCGUGGGUAUCGAACAGG
RNAcentral lists this ribosomal RNA (423 nucleotides) under uncultured bacterium. RNAcentral describes it as "partial 16S ribosomal RNA". It matches the Rfam family "Bacterial small subunit ribosomal RNA", at positions 355 to 776 of the family's 1533-position model. The record is from RNAcentral. RNAcentral also lists the same sequence under 1 other name.